AUGGCAUAGACAGCAGGACAAGCUGCUGCUGCUUCAUCUCUUAUCUCCUGCAAGGGCGGCGACUUCCUCAACAAUGGAGGCAGCAGGGAAGGCUGCUGCUGCUUCAUCGAAGGCAGGCGCUCCUGGGGAUCCCACAUCGAAGGUAGGCGCGCUGGGGGAUCCCGCUGAGGUGAACUCGUGGUGGAGGGGUGUGGCCCUAUGGGUGUCUUUUUUUUAUCUCGCAUUCAUGAUCUCUUUCCCUCUCAUUACUCCUCUAUAUUCUCCUCGGAUAUAUCUCCGUUUUGAUUAUUACCUUUACCUCUCUCUGUGAUUCUGUUCAUCUGAUUGUUGUGUUUCAGCCAUGUCAUAGAGCAUCACUUUCAAACUAUUAUGAUCUUGCAGAAAAGUUUUAAUCUCUAUCUUAAUUUAGGAAUAGCAAAUCUAGAGAUAAUUAAUUCAUUUUUUUGUGUUUUAGUUAACCUUAUAUAUGACAUGAAACUUACCAAAUACACUCAAAAGGAGUGGUAAGAGGAAGGAGUUGGUAAAGAAAUAUUAUAUAUUGAGAGGUGCUUCAUCAUCUUUGGAGGCGUUUAUUAAAGGCUUCAGUUUGAGCAUCCAACAUCACCUACACAAGAUAGACUGGCAAGUUUCAAUAAGUGCAAAAGAUGAACUAAUCGAAGCAACACUAUGCUUUAGCUAAAAAGCCCAGGACGACAUUGUGGGAAGCUGCUGCAAACUGAGACUAAUUAUUGCAGAGGUAAAUAAUCCUUAUGACAGGGCGGUUCAUGUCCUGCAAGGAUUGCUGGAGGAAGAUCAUCCCUGAUGGAAAUCUACAACUGCA
Molecule: long non-coding RNA, 820 nt
Organism: Lolium rigidum
Lineage: Eukaryota; Viridiplantae; Streptophyta; Magnoliopsida; Poales; Poaceae
Exons: 3
Source: RefSeq, a predicted model, not a curated record